This 497-nucleotide ribosomal RNA is filed under the name uncultured bacterium. RNAcentral's name for it is "partial 16S ribosomal RNA". It matches the Rfam family "Bacterial small subunit ribosomal RNA", at positions 28 to 507 of the family's 1533-position model. The record is from RNAcentral.
GACGAACGCUGGCGGCGUGCCUAAUACAUGCAAGUUGAGCGCUGAAGGUUGGUUCUUGUACCAACUGGAUGAGCAGCGAACGGGUGAGUAACGCGUGGGGAAUCUGCCUUUGAGCGGGGGACAACGUUUGGAAACGAAUGCUAAUACCGCAUAAAAACUUUAAACACAAGGUUUAAGUUUGAAAGAUGCAAUUGCAUCACUCAAAGAUGAUCCCGCGUUGUAUUAGCUAGUUGGUGAGGUAAAGGCUCACCAAGGCGAUGAUACAUAGCCGACCUGAGAGGGUGAGUGGCCACACUGGGACUGAGACACGGCCCAAACGCCUACGGGCGGCAGCAGUAGGGAAUCGUCGGGAAGCGACGAAAGUCUGACCGAGCAACGCCGCGGGAGUGAAGAAGGGUGUCGGAUCGUAAAACUCGGUUGGUAGGGAAGAACGUUGGUGCGAGUGGAAAGCUCAUCAAGUGACGGUAACUACCCAGAAAGGGACGGCUAACUACGUG